RNAcentral lists this small RNA (287 nucleotides) under Bacillus methanolicus MGA3. RNAcentral's name for it is "5' ureB small RNA". It matches the Rfam family "5' ureB small RNA". Lineage: Bacteria; Bacillati; Bacillota; Bacilli; Caryophanales; Bacillaceae. The record is from Rfam by way of RNAcentral.
CCGUUUCGAUUUGCUGCGGACAAAUAAAGUGAAUAUGGGCAUCAAUUCCUCCUGCGGUGACUAUCUUCCCCUCCGCUGCAAUAACUUCUGUUGCCGCUCCGAUGAUGAUAUUGACCCCAUCCAUUAACAACGGAUUGCCCGCUUUCCCGAUCGCAGCAAUCUUGCCAUCUUUAAUCCCAAUAUCUGCUUUAUAGAUUCCGGUGUAGUCCACAAUCAUCGCAUUUGUCAGUACUAAAUCCAUCGAUUCAGAACGUGUAGCCAGCGGGUGCUGCCCCAUUCCAUCGCGA